ACCUCGAUAGUACAAUCGAUAGCAUACCAGACCGAAAAUCUGUAGAUGCAGGUUCAUGUCCUACUUGAGGUC
Molecule: transfer RNA, 72 nt
Filed under: Dictyocaulus viviparus (bovine lungworm)
Lineage: Eukaryota; Metazoa; Nematoda; Chromadorea; Rhabditida; Metastrongylidae
Rfam family: tRNA
About the family: Transfer RNA (tRNA) molecules are approximately 80 nucleotides in length. Their secondary structure includes four short double-helical elements and three loops (D, anti-codon, and T loops).
Source: Rfam by way of RNAcentral